CGCGGGGCGGAAGCGCGGAGAAGGCGGGGCGGGCCGGGGACUGCGGAAGCGAUGGGGCCGUCGCUGGGCGUACACGAGCUGCUGCACGUCUUCUCCUUCCUGGAGGCCCGAGACCUGCUCCGUGCCGCCCAGGUGGACAAGGUCUGGAAUGAGGUUUCAGGGACCAAGGAAUUGUGGAGGCAGUUGUGUCUGAGACGCUGGUCCUCCUGUAAAGACUCCCAGGUGACGCGGGGCACACAGACAUGGAAACAGUACUACCUCUGCCGAUCCGAGCUGGACUUCCGAGUGGAAUCUGGGCGGCCAGAGAAGGACUUCGUUUGCAAAGCCCUUGCCGGGCACAAAGGAGAGAUAGCUAAGCUGGCCUACAUCUCACCCAACGAGUACUGCUUUGACAGGCGGGAGAAGUCUGUGGUGUGCACUGCGUCCUCAGAUGGCACUGUGCGUGCCUGGAAUCUACAUGCGGGCAUGGAGAUCUGGUCGAGCCCUCUACAGCCUGAUGCUCUGGUGAAUUUGGUGACUUACCCUCAGCUGCAGCUGGUUGUCACCGUGGACGCACAGGGACUCAUCAAAGUGUGGGAAGCAGAGAGCGGGCGGGAGUCAGCCUCCUUCUGCCUGCCUACACACUCGUCUGCAUUGGAGGCCUCUGACCAUCCAGAGGGCCCCUUCCUGCUGGCGGCCUGUGCCGAUGGAACACUCUACACGCUCACGGUGCCCGGGCUGCAGGUGCUGUCCAGGGUGAGUGUGUUCCCGAACCACCCCGCCAGCCUGCUCUGCUCUCCCGACUGCCAGUGGGUGUUCACAUUGGCCCAGGACUCAGACCUGAGCCCCAAGGUGUUCCACUCGCACUCCUUGCUGUGUCCACUGGAAGACGAGCCUCCUGUCUCCACCGCUCUCCCCAUCGGGCUGACUUCCAAAGCCUGCUGGGCCCCCGAUGAGCCGGCCAGGCUGGUGGUGGUGCACAGAGAUGACAGCGGCGUGCAGUGGGUGGUCACCACCUACGAGCCAGGGGCUAAGAAGUCCAGGGAUGCAGUGAGCGUUCUGGUACAGCAGAUUGCAAGUUUCAACCUGCCAGACACCAUGAUGCCUCCUCACCUAAUGAAGGGGCACGGCUCCCAAGUGGUGCUGCUGGUGUCGGGGUCUGAGCUGGUGCUCUUCACCAUCCACGGCCUGCGGCUGGCAGCCUUCCAGGACCAUCAGCGGCCCAUCACGUCCCUGUGUGUGGACCAGAGCCGAGUCGUCACCUCUUCUUUCGACCUCUCCUUGCGCGUCUACAUGUGGAAAAAGGGGAAUAAAUUUCCUGUCCUCAAGAGCUGCUAUCACUUGCUCGGGGGCUCCCACCGCUGGGCCAGUGGAUUUACCCAGGUGGACAGUGACAGCAUGAGCAUUGUGGGCGUGGAAGCCAGAAGCGCUGGCACGAGUAUUCUGAGGUCAUACUACUUCCAACUGCGACGAGACCUAGACAAGGAACAGGAAACGUAACAGGAGAGUCAGUAACCUGUUGUUGGCCCAUGUUGCAGCUGCCUAGCAAUCUGCCCAGCGCUAUUCAGAUAGUAAGUGGCAGAAAGGAGAGAAUGCCCAACGGGGGACUAGAAAGCCCCUGCUUACAGUGCUGGGGGUGUCACAGAAUCAUUUUUGUUGUUCAGAUGUGGAGACUUUCGUAUUUUUUGAUGGUGGUGCCCCUGGACUUGGUCCCCUCGGAAGCCCUGACUGGUGUAGUGGCGUAUCUUUCAGAGUUCUUAAUUGUAAGCAAGAGGAACAGCAAGCUGGUGGGUCUCUGUGAGUCUUCCUCAAAUCCUUUCAUGAGCUCCUGAUGUAGCCCAAGAUAUUCUGUAUUAAGUGGAUAUAAAACAUUAAAAUAUUCUCUCUA
Myotis myotis is the source of this 1867-nucleotide RNA transcript. It is a transcript of the gene named F-box/WD repeat-containing protein 12-like, with no coding region annotated. The record is from RefSeq and is a predicted model, not a curated record. Lineage: Eukaryota; Metazoa; Chordata; Mammalia; Chiroptera; Vespertilionidae. The transcript has 12 exons.